This 731-nucleotide ribosomal RNA is filed under the name uncultured bacterium. Its description in RNAcentral is "bacterial SSU rRNA". It matches the Rfam family "Bacterial small subunit ribosomal RNA", at positions 8 to 728 of the family's 1533-position model. The record is from RNAcentral.
AGAGUUUGAUCAUGGCUCAGAUUGAACGCUGGCGGCAUGCCUUACACAUGCAAGUCGAACGGCAGCAUGAUCUAGCUUGCUAGAUUGAUGGCGAGUGGCGAACGGGUGAGUAAUACAUCGGAACGUGCCCUGUAGUGGGGGAUAACUAGUCGAAAGAUUAGCUAAUACCGCAUACGACCUGAGGGUGAAAGUGGGGGACCGCAAGGCCUCAUGCUAUAGGAGCGGCCGAUGUCUGAUUAGCUAGUUGGUGAGGUAAAGGCUCACCAAGGCGACGAUCAGUAGCUGGUCUGAGAGGACGAUCAGCCACACUGGGACUGAGACACGGCCCAGACUCCUACGGGAGGCAGCAGUGGGGAAUUUUGGACAAUGGGCGAAAGCCUGAUCCAGCAAUGCCGCGUGUGUGAAGAAGGCCUUCGGGUUGUAAAGCACUUUUGUCCGGAAAGAAAUGGCUCUGGUUAAUACCUGGGGUCGAUGACGGUACCGGAAGAAUAAGGACCGGCUAACUACGUGCCAGCAGCCGCGGUAAUACGUAGGGUCCAAGCGUUAAUCGGAAUUACUGGGCGUAAAGCGUGCGCAGGCGGUUGUGCAAGACCGAUGUGAAAUCCCCGAGCUUAACUUGGGAAUUGCAUUGGUGACUGCACGGCUAGAGUGUGUCAGAGGGGGGUAGAAUUACACGUGUAGCAGUGAAAUGCGUAGAGAUGUGGAGGAAUACCGAUGGCGAAGGCAGCCCC